RNAcentral lists this ribosomal RNA (328 nucleotides) under Micrococcus luteus. Its description in RNAcentral is "partial 23S ribosomal RNA". It matches the Rfam family "Bacterial large subunit ribosomal RNA", at positions 2599 to 2925 of the family's 2925-position model. The record is from RNAcentral. Lineage: Bacteria; Bacillati; Actinomycetota; Actinomycetes; Micrococcales; Micrococcaceae.
CGCGAGCUGGGUUCAGAACGUCGUGAGACAGUUCGGUCCCUAUCCGUCGCGGGCGCAGGAAAUUUGAGAGGAGCUGUCCUUAGUACGAGAGGACCGGGAUGGACGCACCGCUGGUGUACCAGUUGUUCUGCCAAGGGCAUCGCUGGGUAGCUAUGUGCGGACGGGAUAAGUGCUGAAAGCAUCUAAGCAUGAAGCCCCCCUCAAGAUGAGAUUUCCCAUUCCGCAAGGAAGUAAGAUCCCUGAAAGAUGAUCAGGUUGAUAGGUCUGAGGUGGAAGCGUGGUGACACGUGGAGCUGACAGAUACUAAUAGAUCGAGGACUUAACCUAU